GGCAAGUAAGAAUGUUGAAGCUGCAGAGGCCAAGGAUAGGCUGGUUGGCAACACGUCAUCUGGUUCCCAGUUGCCCAAAGGAAAUGUUGCCUCUGAAAGUGAAACAGCUCUUACCUUUGAGUCCAGUUCAUUGGUAGAUCUGCCAAAAAAUGAUUCUGGCAUUGCAGUUGCAACAGCAGCUACUGCUUCUUUGGUUGCGGAGGGACCCCAAUC
RNAcentral lists this unclassified non-coding RNA (213 nucleotides) under Hevea brasiliensis (rubber tree). Lineage: Eukaryota; Viridiplantae; Streptophyta; Magnoliopsida; Malpighiales; Euphorbiaceae. The record is from RNAcentral.